This 260-nucleotide ribosomal RNA is filed under the name uncultured archaeon. Its description in RNAcentral is "partial 16S ribosomal RNA". It matches the Rfam family "Archaeal small subunit ribosomal RNA", at positions 748 to 1008 of the family's 1478-position model. The record is from RNAcentral.
CAGCCGUAAACUAUGCGCGUUAGGUGUACUGGUGACCACGAGUCACCGGGGUGCCGAAGGGAAACCGUGAAACGUGCCGCCUGGGAAGUACGGUCGCAAGGCUGAAACUUAAGGAAUUGGCGGGGGAGCACCACAACGGGUGGAGCCUGCGGUUUAAUUGGACUCAACGCCGGAAAUCUCACCGGAUAGGACAGACAUAUGAUAGUCGGGCUGAAGACUCUACUUGAUGAUCUGAGAGGUGGUGCAUGGCGUCAGUGACU